RNAcentral lists this ribosomal RNA (550 nucleotides) under Funneliformis mosseae. Its description in RNAcentral is "SSU rRNA". It matches the Rfam family "Eukaryotic small subunit ribosomal RNA", at positions 548 to 1098 of the family's 1831-position model. The record is from RNAcentral. Lineage: Eukaryota; Fungi; Glomeromycota; Glomeromycetes; Glomerales; Glomeraceae.
UUGGAGGGCAAGUCUGGUGCCAGCAGCCGCGGUAAUUCCAGCUCCAAUAGCGUAUAUUAAAGUUGUUGCAGUUAAAAAGCUCGUAGUUGAAUUUCGGGAUCAAUAUUUCGGUCAUGCCGUUGGUAUGCACUGUUAUCAUUGAUUUCUCACCUUCUAAAGAACCGUAAUGCCAUUAAUUUGGUGUUACGGGGAAUUAGGACUGUUACCUUGAAAAAAUUAGAGUGUUUAAAGCAGGCUCACGCUUGAAUACAUUAGCAUGGAAUAAUGAAAUAGGACAUCCGAUUCUAUUUUGUUGGUUUCUAGGAUCGAUGUAAUGAUUAAUAGGGAUAGUUGGGGGCAUUAGUAUUCAAUUGUCAGAGGUGAAAUUCUUGGAUUUAUUGAAGACUAACUACUGCGAAAGCAUUUGCCAAGGAUGUUUUCAUUAAUCAAGAACGAAAGCUAGGGGAUCGAAGACGAUCAGAUACCGUCCUAGUCUUAACCAUAAACUAUGCCGACUAGGGAUCGGAUGAUGUUAAUUUUUUAAUGACUCCUUCGGCGCCUUACGGGAAAC